Molecule: ribosomal RNA, 322 nt
Filed under: uncultured bacterium
Lineage: Bacteria
Description: bacterial SSU rRNA
Rfam family: Bacterial small subunit ribosomal RNA
Source: RNAcentral
CGUUAGCUGCAGAAGAAGCACCGGCUAACUCCGUGCCAGCAGCCGCGGUAAUACGGAGGGUGCGAGCGUUAAUCGGAAUUACUGGGCGUAAAGCGCAUGCAGGUGGUUUGUUAAGUCAGAUGUGAAAAGCCCGGGGCUCAACCUCGGAAUUGCAUUUGAAACUGGCAAACUAGAGUACUGUAGAGGGGGUAGAAUUUCAGGUGUAGCGGUGAAAUGCGUAGAGAUCUGAAGGAAUACCGGUGGCGAAGGCGGCCCCCCUGGACAGAUACUGACACUCAGAUGCGAAAGCGUGGGGAGCAAACAGGAUUAGAUACCCUGGUAG